RNAcentral lists this ribosomal RNA (446 nucleotides) under uncultured bacterium. Its description in RNAcentral is "partial 16S ribosomal RNA". It matches the Rfam family "Bacterial small subunit ribosomal RNA", at positions 338 to 795 of the family's 1533-position model. The record is from RNAcentral.
CCUACGGGGAGCAGCAGUCGAGAAUCAUUCACAAUGGGGGAAACCCUGAUGGUGCGACGCCGCGUGGGGGAAUGAAGGUCUUCGGAUUGUAAACCCCUGUCAUGUGGGAGCAAAUUAAAAAGAUAGUACCACAAGAGGAAGAGACGGCUAACUCUGUGCCAGCAGCCGCGGUAAUACAGAGGUCUCAAGCGUUGUUCGGAAUCACUGGGCGUAAAGCGUGCGUAGGCUGUUUCGUAAGUCGUGUGUGAAAGGCGCGGGCUCAACCCGCGGACGGCACAUGAUACUGCGAGACUAGAGUAAGGGAGGGGGAACCGGAAUUCUCGGUGUAGCAGUGAAAUGCGUAGAUAUCGAGAGGAACACUCGUGGCGAAGGCGGGUUCCUGGACAUUAACUGACGCUGAGGCACGAAGGCCAGGGGAGCGAAAGGGAUUAGAUACCCCAGUAGUC